Molecule: ribosomal RNA, 441 nt
Filed under: uncultured Hyphomonadaceae bacterium
Lineage: Bacteria; Pseudomonadati; Pseudomonadota; Alphaproteobacteria; Hyphomonadales; Hyphomonadaceae
Description: bacterial SSU rRNA
Rfam family: Bacterial small subunit ribosomal RNA
Source: RNAcentral
AACGAACGCUGGCGGCAGGCUUAACACAUGCAAGUCGAACGAGAAACUGACUUCGGUCAGCAGACAGUGGCAGACGGGUGAGUAACGCGUGGCAACCUACCAUUUUCUAUGGAACAACAGUUGGAAACGACUGCUAAUACCGUAUACGCCCUCCGGGGGAAAGAUUUAUCGGUGAAUGAUGGGGCCGCGUUAGAUUAGCUAGUUGGUGAGGUAAUGGCUCACCAAGGCGACGAUCUAUAGCGGGUCUGAGAGGAUGAUCCGCCACACUGGGACUGAGACACGGCCCAGACUCCUACGGGAGGCAGCAGUGGGGAAUAUUGGACAAUGGGGGCAACCCUGAUCCAGCCAUGCCGCGUGAAUGAUGAAGGCCUUAGGGUUGUAAAAUUCUUUCGCUAGGGAAGAUAAUGACGGUACCUAGUAAAGAAGCCCCGGCUAACUCCG